UAAACAUUAUUUAGAUGAAGUGGUCUGGGUGCCUACAUUGUCCCUUUAAAUUUGCUACACUUUAACACCUCUGCUUCUCUAUAACCCGUACAUCUACUCUGAAGCAUUUUCAUUCUGUAACCACCAAAUGUCUAUUGUAGCUGGGUGGCAAGGGAGCACUGUCCUCUGUGCUCUUCUUGCUCUACUCCCUUGUGUGCCCUGCUGUGAUGCCAGGAGACGGAAUAAGACAUCAGUCCGGCUCCAGUAUCACUGUGUGGUGCACAAGAGAUCAGAACUAAAACAUUACAGCACCUUUGUGCACCCACCUGCCUGCCUGCCCUGCAGCCCAGUCAGAAGGCAGAAUAAUCCACUCCAACUCUGUCAAAGGUAGAAUUUAAAAUAAAAUGUGUGUGAGUGUGUCAGUAUCAAUGUGUGUCUGUCAGUGAAUGUGAGUCUGUCCGUGAGUGUGUAUGUUUCUGCCAGUGAAUAUUUGUGUCAGUGAAUGUGUGUGUGCGUCUGUCAGUGAAUGUGUGUGCCUGUAAGUGAGUGACUGUGUGUGUCUAUUUCUGUGUGUCUGAGUGAUUG
Non-coding RNA from Pelobates cultripes (western spadefoot toad), 564 nucleotides. Lineage: Eukaryota; Metazoa; Chordata; Amphibia; Anura; Pelobatidae. The record is from the annotation of a GenBank genome assembly.